CAUUUCAUUUUAUUUUGUUUUAUUUUACUUUACUAUUUUUUUUUUUUUUUCGUUUUAUUUUAUUUUGUUUUGUCAAGCUUAAAUAAAAAAAAUAGCAUUCAUAGAAACCUAGGUGCAACCCCUUUACAAAAAUGAAGACAAAAAGAUUGAGCCCCAAGUAGCAAUCCGGUCCAACCAAAUCCGAAUACAUGGCGGGCGCCAUGACGUCUGCAACUUAAACAGGCAUAAUCCUCAUUUUCACCAUUUUUACCUUCUUCAACCUCUCUAAACCCAUUUUCUCCUCCUCCCAACUCCACCAAAGUUCACAAAAAGAUACCAACUUUCUCAUUUUGACUCCAAGCCAUUACCAUUUCCAAACUUCACUCAACCAUGUCUCCACCAAAAACCCACUAAAACUCCAUUUUUAUUCCCUUUCUAUAAAUACCCAUUUUCCUCAACAAUCACCAUUAAUGGCCAGAAUGGAGUUCAACAACAUCAUGCUUCGUGGAGGAAAACCCGGAGAGCGACAAAACAAGAUUUUGCAAAAGUUGCAAUCUCAGGAGAUCCUCGUUACCAGGUAUGUCGACGAAAAUUGUGUGUACACUUUAGGAACAUACGAUAGUGUUUUCUACAUGCUUGAUAAUUUGGGAUUACACGAUAUUUUUGCUAGUAAAGCACACACCUAUGCUAGGCUCACUAGGGAAUUUUUGAGUUCCCUAAUUUACACUGUUUACCCUGGAACUGCUAGCAUAGUAGGUACCGUCUGUUUUAGAAUGUUUAAUUUGGAAUGCGAGUACACUACCGAUGCUUUAGCGGGUUUGUUAGGUAUGCCUUACGGUGAGGGUGCUAUCUGUGAGACGCCCUUAGAUGCUGAAUGGGCACUCAAGGCAUUUACUUUUUGGAAUAGAUUAUCUAAUGUGAAUGUCACUUCCUUUGAAGGAAUUUUGGCUUCUAAUUUUCAUAACCCGACCAUACGUAUUUUUAGAUACCUUUUGGCAUGUACCAUAUUUGGCCGGGAGAAUUCUAACAAAGUAAAUGCUUGUGAGUUGCUAUUUUUACAGGGUUGUCUCACUAAUUGCAGGAUCAAUCCUGUUCCUUUUAUGUUGGCCCAUAUGUCUGCCAUUCUUAAAAAGGGAGGAACCAUCUCUUUCGGUGGUUUGAUUACCUCCAUUGCUAGAGCGUUAAAUCUCAACGUUGAGUUAGCCACCUUAGAACCACUCCCUCACCGCACCAUUAACUUAAAUUUUUUGAAAGAUAUGAAAUUAUGCAAGGUGCGGUGAGCAGGUGGUUUUCACCUCAUGAUACAUGGUGUAGCUAUACCCAGUGUUGUGUUACCUUGCUCUCAGUGUACAGAUGUGCGACAUGCAAGGAACUGGACAUAUGAUAUUGCUGCUCCACCCUUUACCGGUCUUUUGCCACCUAACGUUCCUAUGGGCGACGAGCAAGGGACCAGCGAUGAGUAUGACUGACGCGACCAGUCACCUGCUCAUGAUAUUCCUGCUGCAUCACCUACACACACUGCACCUUCUUCGUCUAACCAUUUUGCAGGUACCACUCUCGGUUUCUACAUCACCGAGGAGAUGUGGCGCGAGCACCUGGCUCGUGAGGAAAGGCGUGACACCCUCUCUCUUGAAUACCAUAAACCAACAACUGAAAGAUAAUAUGAGUUUUAUGGUAGCUUCCCAGCAGCGUAGUGAGCAAGCACAUUGGACUAUCACUGAGUCCUUACUUGCGAUCACUAAUGAGCAGCAUCGCCAGCGACAGGCUAAUGAGCGUCACUUCGCUCUUAUCGAGGCCACACAAGGAUCUCUCUUAGAUCGCUCUCAGCAGUUGCAGGAAGGACUUAGUACUUGUAGCAUACGUUGUCGACCCAAGCAUCCUGACCAGGGCGGUGACGGUACCGGUGAUCACCCCUAGUUCUCUUCCUCUCUCUUCCAGGUUACUCCUACCCUAUCUCAUAUCUAAACAUUGAGGACAAUGUUCGGUUUAAGUGUGGGAGGAGAUUUUUAUCUCUCUUUAUCUUUCCUUUAUUUUUAUCGCUUUUUAUCGCUUUCCUUUAUUCUUUAUCGCUUUUUAUUGUUUUCCUUUAAUUUUAGUAUGUUUUAUGUUUUAGUUGUUUGUUUUUCCUUUCAAUAAAAUAACAUGUGUCUGACGAGUCAUCUGUGUAGUGUAUCCGUAUUUCUCCCAUUUCUUUAACCUUACAAAAAAAGAAUUCUAGCAAAGAAAACAGUACAUAUUGAACAUUCAGGCUAUAAGACAAGUUUAUGACGAGAUGUAAAAGACUUGGGAAGACUUUUUCUAAAAAUCGGUACUGUCUUAACACCUUAGGCUUCACGAUUAUAAGAGUCGAUCCCGAUACCCCAUAUGUUGUGGCCCUAAUUUUUGUUCCAAAUAAGUCCUUAAGUAGUUUAUCCUUGCAGUCAGCUCCAGCUUAAGCAUGCUCUACGUAGGGGACCGAUGAAAAUAAGUGAAUGAUCACAAAUAUUCCUACUUUGUUCUCAAGUCAUAUGAAAACCCGGUCUAGGUGACUCUCACACAGUCAUUUAACCCAGCAAAAUAAAGACAUAUGCGAAACAUGUAGAAGAAAAAUAAAAAAUAAUAAGCCUAUUUGUUGGUUGGUUCAGAGGUAUCUGGUGCUGAACUUGGUAGGGUGGAUUACGAUCCAAUCCCCCACAACUGCAAACUGGGUUAAAUAAAGGGGUUACACCAACUUAUGUACCAGAGCCCCAUGCUUAGAAAAAAAUAGUAAUAAGCCUAUUGGUUGGUUGGUUCAGAGGUAUCUGGUGUUGAACUUGGUAGGGUGGAUUACGAUCCAAUCCCCCACAACUGCAAAUUGGGUUAAAUAAAGGGGUUACACCAACUUAUGUACCAGAGCCCUAUGCUUAAGAUCAUAAUCACUAACCGGUCACUUUACUAUGAGUAUGUACAAAUAACAGGCUUAAUGUGAUUGCACCUGAAUGAAAAGGACUUUUAGAAAACGAAAAGAAGGCCUAGGUAUGGUGGGGUAAUGUGGAUUGAUUUGUAUAGGAACGAAGCCUAUGACCGCAAUUGCGGGAAGUGUCACUACAAUAUCCUUAGUUCGAUUCGUUAGUACCUAUCUUGGUGGGGUAAUGUGGAUUGAUUUGUAUAGGAACGAAGCCUAUGACCGCAAUUGCGGGAAGUGUCACUACAAUAUCCUUAGUUCGAUUCGUUAGUACCUAUCGAUACAUUCCUUGAAUGAACUUAUAGGUCUUCUUUCUCUGAAUUAACUCUAGUUGAUAUUGUUUUUCUUGCAUAAACUAUAAAGAGUUUUGCUUGAGGACAAGCAAAGGUUUAAGUGUGGGAAAAUUUGAUCACACUGAAUUACACUGUGUUUUUGACUCGGAUUUCACAUGUUUAUUAGGACUUUAUUAUCAUUUUGUUUGUAUUAUGCUCUCUUUUAUCUUGUUUUCAGAUAUUUAGCACUUUCAGACUCUUUUGAAAGAAACGAAGCAAAAAGACCUAAAAUUAGGGUUUUUCGGCGAAAAUUACACACAUGACGUUGCACAUCGUGGCCGCUAUAGGAGAAGCCAUGAGUCAUCAGCCCUCAACUAGGAGGUAACCGCCACGUUCCCAUGAUCUUCCCCAUUUACACACAUGGCGGGCGCCAUGAAGGGAUGGAGGGCGCCACCUUUGGAAAUCACGUUCCCACUAAGGAGAUGUUGGAGGGCACCAUGGUCUUUGCAAGCUGUUGAAAUCCUCUAUAAAUAGUUCAUUCCAUUUCAUUUUCAAAUCAUCCAACUUAGUUUACAACACUAAGCCUAUAUUUAUCAUUUGUAAAAGCGGUAAUCUGUCACAUCGGGGGGUUAUCGCACCUUAGUGAGAUUGAGUUGGGUCACUUCGAGUUGCUGUCGUCUUUAUCUUUAGGAGUCGGAGGUUUAUUUUUCUUGUACCAGAUUUAAAGCCCUCCGUUUGGAGCAGGUUCUUAUUUAUCGCUUUUAUUUAUUUAUUUGUCAUCGCUUUACAUUUAUUUUCUGCACAUCGCUUUACUUUAUUUAUUUUCCGCACUGGCUUUACUUUAUUUAUUUUCCGCACUCGCUUUACUUUAUUUAUUUUCCGCUUUUGCUUUACUUUAUUUAUUUUUCGCACUCGUUUUACUUUAUUUAUUUCCGCACUCGCUUUACUUUAUUUAUUUUCCGCACUCGCUUUACUUUAUUUAUUUUCCGCACUCGCUUUACUUUAUUUUACGCACUUUACUUGCUCUUUACGCCUCACAUUCUGAAAUAAACUUUUCAUCAUGAUCAAUACCGUUGUGUUUGUUUGUGUUACCAUGUCUGGCUAAAUCUUUUAAAGGUUAGAAUGUAAGGAUCACGGUUAAAUUAAUGUUUCAUAUAUUGAAUCUAUAGAAAUACUUUAAAGGCUGUUUUGAUUUUUAACUUGAGUUUUCUAAAACAAACUUGGUUAGUUUUAAUUAUUCAAGGAGUGCGAAAGCACCCUGGCUUAGUUAACUAGGAAUUUUUAUCACUUUAAAGGAAAAACUAUUUUUGAAACUAUUUUCGGACGCGUUGAUAGAUCUAAAAUCAGGAAACUCCUCGGGUAAAACUUUCCAAAUCAAAAUCACUUUUCAACUAAGUUUAUGAGUCUUAUUUAUUAAAAAUAAGUUUACUACUUUAGCGUUCUGCGCACCUUUAUAAGUGACAAUAAAAGGCCUUAAUUUAAGGGUAAACUCGGUUCUGAAUACGCGAAAGCGACAGUUCCUGUUAAAUGGAUUCUUUUCAAGAGUAGAAAAUAUUGCCUCAUAAGUAAUUCUAUUUAGACAAUCGAAACAUCACUUAACUGAAGUGAAAUACAUUCAACCUAUCUUUACCUGCAUUUAUUAUUUACCAUUGUUUUGCAAACCCAAUAUCUCUUUUAUACCGCCUUAGAUAAACACCGUAACGAUAGUAAUCGAUAGAUUGACAAUUUGGUCUCUGUGGGAUCGAUAUUCUUUUAUAUUACUUUGACGCAAUUCGUGCACUUGUGAAUUCACAUGAUCAAAGGGCCAAAACCUAGUUCCUGUUGGGGCAUGGUAUUUGAUGAAGUUGUUAAUCAGUACGGUAAUGGCAUUGGGGCAAUGAUUAUUACUUCUCAAGACACACAUUUUUCGUUUACAGCUAGAUUAACUUUCAACUAUACAAACAAUAUGGAUGGGUAUGAAGCUUGCAUUAUGGGGAUUGAGGAGGCCAUUAAUCUCAAAAUCAAGUAUUUGGAUGUCUAUGGAGAUUCAGUUUUGGUUGUGAAUCAGAUCAAAGGUGAGUGGGAAACGAAUCAACCCAGUUUGAUACCAUAUAGAGACUAUGCGAGGAGGAUUUCAACUUUCUUUACAAAGGUUGAAUUUCAUCAUAUCCCUCGAGAUGAAAACCGGAUGGCAGAUGCUCUUACAACGUUGGCUUCAAUGAUUGUAGUGAAGUUUUGGAAUGAAGUUCCUAAUUUGACUGUGAUGCGUCUUGAUAGGCCAUCACAUGUGUUUGUUGUUGAGGAGAUCAAAGAUGAUAAGCCAUGGUAUUUUGACAUCAAGUGUUUUCUCCAAAGUAAGAUUUACCCACCUGGGGCAUCUCUGAAAGAUAACAAGACUUUGAGGAGAUUAGCUGGAAACUUCUACCUGAAUGCUGAUGUGCUUUACAAGAGAAAUUUCGAUAUGGUUCUGCUCAGAUGCGUGGAUAGACAUGAAGCAGACUUAUUGAUGAUUGAAGUCCAUGAAGGUUCCUUUGGUAAUCAUUCCAAUGGGCAUGCUAUGGCUAAGAAGAUGUUGAGAGCAGGUUACUAUUAGUUGGCAAUGGAAUCUGACUGUUGCAAGUUUGUGAAGAAAUGCCACAAGUACCAAAUAUAUGCAGAUAAGACUCAUGUUCCUCCGACACUGUUAAAUGUCAUUUCCUCUCCAUGGCCCUUCUCCAUGUGGGGAAUUGAUAUGAUUGGCAUGAUUGAGCCCAAAGCUUCUAACGGACAUCGUUUCAUUCUGGUGGCUAUUGAUUACUUCACAAAGUGGGUUGAAGUGGCAUCGUAUGCGAAUGUGACCAAGAAAGUUGUUGUGAGGUUUAUUAAGAAUCAAAUUAUAUGUCGAUAUGGUGUGCCAAGUAAGAUCAUUACUGAUAAUGGAUAUAACUUGAAUAAUAAUAUGGUGUAAGCUCUUUGCAAAGACUUCAAGAUUGCACAUCAUAAUUCUUCUCCCUACAGACCCAAGAUGAAUGGGGUUGUUUAAGCUGCGAACAAAAACAUCAAGAAAAUCAUCCAAAAGAUGGUUAUGACGUACAAGGAUUGUCAUGAGAUGCUCCCGUUUGCCAUGCAUGGGUACCGUACAUCCAUCCGCACUUCAAUAGGGGCAACCCCUUUCUCACUUGUUUAUGAUAUGGAAGAUGUGCUCCCGGUAGAGGUUGAGAUCCCAUCAUUGCGUGUGCUGAUGGAAGCCAAGUUGACUGAAGCUGAAUGGUGUCAGACCAAAUUUGACUAGUUAAAUUUGAUUGAAGAGAAGAGGCUAAUUUCCAUGUGUCAUGGUCAGUUAUACCAGUAAAGAAUGAAGAAAGAUUUUGAUAAGAAGGCCAAACCUCGUGUAUUCGGAGAAGGUGACCUUGUGCUCAAGAAGAUCUUAUCUUUCAAACUAGAUUCUAGGGGAAAAUGGACUCCUAAUUAUGAAGGCCUAUAUGUUGUUAAGAGAGUCUUUUCAGGCGGUGCUUUGAUUCUCACAACUAUGGAUGGUGAAGAGUUCACUCGUCCCGUGAACGCUAAUGCAGUCAAGAAAUACUUCGCCUAAAAAGAAAAGAACAGUUCGUUAAGUUGAAAACCCGAAAGGGUGGCUUAGGGAAAAAAUGAGCGUCUCGGUGGAUUGAAGACCCGAAAGGGAGAUCCAGGCAAAAGUUAGAGACAUAAAACAGAAGAAUUAUCACGAUAAAUUAAGUACCCCACCUCAGGGAAAUUUAUGCAAAAAUUAGGGAUUUAUGGCAAGUAAUUGCAUCCUGUUGAUAUUCAUUCUUGAAGACUUUCUUGAGCACAAUGUUUUGUUCUGAUUUAUCUUCAACCAAAGCUAAGAGAGCAGCGGAUAUCAGAGUUGGUAGAAGGAUUAGUGAUCAUUAUAUUCAAUGUAUCCCUUUUCCAUAUAAAUUCCCAUUUUUCAACUGUUGUAAAGAUCUAUGGAGUCUUGUCAUUUACAGACUACCAUCCUAUUAAAUAAAGUUGAGCUUUUUAUCCAAUUGUUUCUACUCUUAUUUAUUCAGAUAAAUAUAAUUAAAUUUUAUUGUGAUCAUUUUGAAAUUAAAUUUUUAAAAUAGAAAUCAUGUUUUCUUAAAUAAUUAAAGCAAUUACUUUUUUAAGAGCAAUCAAUUUCAUUUAAGGGAUGUCCACAGCAGUCCGAGAACAGGUAAGCCCUAAAAGGCAAAACAUUUUUGGUUUACCCCAAGCAGUUGGUAUGAUUUAUGUUUCCUCCCCGGUCGCAUUUCAACAUCUCUAGCCGAGUUUUGUUGGUUUCCCCAACUGAGUUCGUAAUUGCCGCCCUCGAGUUGUAGGCGCAUUAUCGCAUCAGGUUGCAUAGAUUCAGCAAAUUUUGUUUCCCCUCAAGCCGCCAGCAGAGUUAUCCCUGGCCUCUGUUAUCCCUGAUUCUUGAGCAAUAUUUUGGAUCCUCUGCAAGGUUGUCUCCUAUUUGAUAUGGUGUUGACCUAAAAUCCCUCGCAGAGUUGAUGGUGCAGAUUUUCGGCAAGCCUUUUCCUUUUCCCCAGCCAGGGUUGAGCCUUUGAGGCAGAUGAUUCAUGUUCAUUCCUUAGCAACUUUUUCUCUCCGGAAGAUGCUUCCCUCCUAUGAAGAUUGGCUGAGUAUUGUAUUGGUAAUGCAGACCAGUGACAUUUGUAUCCUUUGUGAUCGUUUUGUCAGCAUAAUCAUCAUACAUAUACAUAUACAUUCAUAGAUUUCAUCAUUGCAUUAAUAAUGCAUUUUGUGAUUCAUUAUUUCUCUGAUCCACUGCUAUGGGGGUAUCCUUUCCCCCUACAUAGAUUUGGUAUGUCUGUCCUCUUUCAAUUGUAAAGUGUCAUCCCCCUUAAGCAGAAAGAAUUUAACCUUUCUCAUUCCCCACUAGGGACCAAUUCAAUGCCCUUGGUUGUUCCAAAUCUAGGCUAGGGACCAAAACCAACUUGUCUAUGGUGCAAACAAGAUCAUGAUGUAGUUGUUUUGUUGUUCCCCAGGUCAACACCAAGCAUGCUUCAAGUCACAUGCCAAUCUGAGGCAAGCCUCCACAAUCUCCCUCAAAAACCAUCCACACACCUUCCUUAUAAAUAGGUGAAGGUGUUCCACUUCAGAACCACGCUGAAAAAGAUCCCAAACUCAUUCUGAACAUCUGUGUUAAUCCUCCAUUAAUAGAGUAUCGGGUUUUCAUUUCCAGAGUACCUCAACCCCAAACAACCAUCUAGAAACCUUCACUAAACAUCACUCAAGCUUUCCAAACACCUAACUCCUCUUCCCUAAGUCUCACCUGAUCUGAGCUAUACCAUUGGAAAAAUCCCCUGAGCUACUUCUGAUUAGCUAGAUUUCUCCACCCCCAUCAUCCAAACAAGUUACUACUCCCCUUGAAAUAUCAUUCUGAUCAUUUCCCAUAAGGUUGCAGCAUUGAUUACUUGAUAUUUAGAAUUAAUUUUUGUUUUAGGUUAAGUUCAUCUUUUUUAUUUUUGAGAAGAAACUCUGCACUCAUAACCAAUCAAUGGCUCAUGAGUGUGUAGAAUGAUUUGAUUUUUAUUAUGUAAUGAGGUUCCAUGAAAAAAUCCUAUUGAUUUUGCUUUUUUCCAUCCUUCGAUUUUCAAAAAUCUCGAGGUUGAAGACGGCACUGUGUUCGUUACAUCACUAUUUUUAAUUCAAAGCAAAUUCAUGUCCUGCUUUGAUUGGUUGUUUGGCGCGCACAUUUCAUUUAUUCACUUCUUUUAUUAGUUUUUCAUUUUGGUCUGUAUCAUAACACAAUCGGGUCUUUGGCCUAGUGGUUGAGGGAGUUGACCCCCCCCAUGACCCCAAGGUUAGGGGCUCAACCCCUAACGUGUGCAUUCUGUCCAUUUUAUUUUUAACUUGUUUCAUUUUAUUUAUUUAUUUAUUUUCCACAUUUAUUAUCAUUUUGAUUUUAUUUUUUAACCCUUUCAUUUUUAUUAUUUUGCAAAUAUGUUCAACAUAAACUCCCAUUAUUUUUGUCCCUAGAAUUUAUUGGUGACUUGUUUUAUUUCAUUUCGUUAUUUUUUGAGAGACUUAUGAAGUCUUGAACUUAAGGACUAAUGAAAUCUAUUUAAGUCAUUAUAUGUUUGGAUUAGGGUUGAUUAAAACCUCCCAUACUUCAAACCUACUAGUGGAUGAUCUUGUAUUCAUCCAUGUUACUUUAAAGCAUGGAUAGGUUGCCCCUACUUCAAAUAACUUGGUCAUUUGACUUGUGGAUGAAGUCUUAUCUUGUUAACUUGGUUUCAUAUGAUACAUUGUUGAUUCAUUUGGUUUGUACUAACCCACUAACACCUUACUCUCUUUUGUUUAUACACUAACCAUUACUAACUUGUUAAUAUUAUGCUUUGUCCAUAUAACUUGUUAACUUAAUCAAUCAUUAAUCUUUCAACUUUGGAUUGUAUAGUCUUCCUUUUGUCAAUCUAUUGAUAGAUGGACUCGAGGUUGAAUAAUUUUCUUUGUUACAAAUCUAUUGUAAGGUGAUCCAUUGAAGGGUUUAUAGGUCUCAAAUCCGAAUAUAUGCAUGAGGAAGCCAAAAUGUUUGGGCCUUAAGCCAAUGCAAGUAGUCAAACACCGGACCCAAGUCAAAUGCUAAGAUACCAAAUCUCAUCUUCACGUUUCAAGCUCAUACCAACGACGAAUCUUCACCAUCAUUCUCACUCUUCACAAAUUCUCUAUUCUCCUAUCUGAAAUUCGAACGCGAGCGUGAACGACCACGACUCCAGCUUAAUCAUCAACAUCCAAAUUGAUUCGAACUCCUCGUCAUCGACCUCAUCGUGCUUCAAAUCAGAGUCGCAACAUGGAUUUCCUUUGCAAAUAUCUUCACUGUGGAUUUGAUUCUUUACACCUCAGCUUCAAGGAUUGUGUCGUGUCUUCACCAAUUCCAUAGAUUCAUGUUUCAGUAUCCAAAAUUUAUAGAUAACAAGCUCGAAGGACUUACAGUAUCGACUUCGACUUCGCAGGUAGAGUCUCCUUAUCCUUCGAUUCUCCUCUUCUUCAAUGCCUUCUUCUUCUUGUUUCUGUAGAUGGUAGGAAUUGCAGAAGCUGUUGAUUUUGAUGUUGUAGCGUUUCCCUGCAUUUUGGUUGUUGUACGUGAAUGCGGAGAGUGGAAUUUUGAUGCAGAAAAAGAAGUUUUGAUGCAUAAGGGCAUGUUUGAAACACUUUUCAAUUUUAGUUCUUAAAAUUUGUUUUUCAAAUCUAUUUUAAAAAACUAUUUUAAGAAGAAAAUUAACAAAAAAUUUGUUUGAUAAAGUAAUUUUUAAAAACUGUUUUAAAAAUAUGAAAAUGAAAAAACUUGUUUGAUAAUCUAAUCUUUUAAAAUCACAUUAACGUUAUAAAUGAAAAUUAUAAAAUUUUUAUGUUUUUUCUUCAAGUUUUAUAAUACUAAAAACUAAAAAGUGAGAAGCAAAACACAACUAAACUGUUUCACUUUUUUACUUUUAAAAUGACUUUUUAUCUUUUCUCAAAAAUUUUUGUGAAUUGCAAAACAUUAUAUUCAAACAAGUUUUUAAAUUUUAAAUUUUCAAAAACUAAAAAAGAGUUUUUAAGAUGCAUUUCAAACAGGCCCUAAGUCUUUUGGUCGAAGAAUAAAAUAGUUUUGUCAAUGCAUAACGAAGAAGAACAGAAAAUGCAGAAGAAGAACAAAAAAUGCAGAAUGAAUGCAGAAUGAAUUUUUUCUUCCAAUCUGAACUGCCAUGAGGUAUAUAUAGGAAUCACAAUAUGUUACCAAAUUCUCAUGAAAUUCAUAUUGAAAUGCAUAAUUAGUUAGAAAUGAAAAUGUUAGUUGGAAAUUCAGAUUGAAAUGUAAUUUACAGUGAAAUGAAAUUUGGUUAGUGACUUCCUGUUAUUGACUCAGUUUUGCUAAAUGUCAGGUAUCAAGUGAAACCCUAUUUUUCUGUUAAUCCCUUAGUUUCCAGGUAUACAUUUUAUUAUAUUUAGGUGUUAAUGCUAAUUUAAAUUAAUUGUUUGAAAUUAGUGGCGCGCCGGGUAGGGGUAUAGUUAGCUCAAUCAGGUUAAUUAUCAAUUGAAAUUAAUUGGUUGAACUCAACAAAGUCCUGUUAAUGUUGUUACAGUUAAUGGUUGUUUAGCUGCAUUAGUGAUUAGGUUUGUUGUGAAAUGGAUAAACUCAAAAUUGAAGUUGUGUAUUUAAUACCUAUGAUAAUUGUAUAUGAUAGUGCUCAAUUACCAAUCUGAAUCCUUUGAAGUUAAAUUAUGCAUUGGUGUAAAAAUUGGAAAAACAAAUGAAUUAGUCAAGUUAUGAUUAGUUGGAUUUAGCAUUGAAGUUAAUAUGUUAGUUUGAAGUUGAUGUUAGGAUUAUAUGUUUAUGUGUAUUUCAAAGGAAUUUGAGUUGGCUUGUGGAUUUCAACCUAAGUGUGAUCAUGAAUACUUGCUAAAGCACUGUCAUUUGGGUAAGAAACAAGUUCUGAGUUCAAAUUUCUUGAAUAUGGAAUACGAGUAUGAUUGAAUCUAUGUAUGGACAUGUAUUAUUUGACUGAAAAAUAUGAAAAAUAAAAUUAUUUGGUCUUUGAAUGUAGUGUAAUUAUUAGAUGCUUGUUCUGUUGCUGAAGAUGGUGCACUAGUUCAAGCUUUGUUAUGCAUUAUUGUUAAUGGAUUGUUGAGCUACUGAAUGCGUGUGUUAGAGUCAUUGAUUGUUGGAAUGAUAUGUCGAAUUGGAUGUGUAUGUUUGCUGUUGUGAUUUAAUGUUUGAUGUUUAUUUGCAGGCCCAAAAUGCAUUGGUUAUGGCAUGGCAAGUAGAUGGAUGCGGGUGCCUUUGAAAACAUCAUGGCAUGGUAGUUUGGUGGGCUACCAAGUUCAAUCAGGAUUACUAUUUUCCCUUUUUAUCUUUCAUCAUUGUGACAUGAUAUGUAAUAUAGUGUAAUAUGGGAUGUAAUAACAUUAAGAAAUGGAUUUAUGGAAAAAUACUUAUGUAAUACUUAUGGAUAUUCAUGUAAACAUGCUUGUUUUAAUAAAAAAUUACCUAUGAUUUUAAUUCACCCAAACUUCAUUUUGCUUUGUUAUAUGAUUUUGCCUAAUUAGUGAGAUUGAUAACUUGACAUUGAAUGGAAAGUGAGUCAUGAGAUUGGAUGUUGAUUGAAAAUUGGUUGGAAAGGUUAAGGUAAUCUUGAAAUGGUUUUUUAAAUGUUAACUUAGUUUACCAUAAUUUUGGAAAUCAAAUUAAAAAAACUAGUUGAAAAUUGUUAGUUAAACAUGAUUUGCAAAUGGGUUAUGGAAGCUAAUUUGAAAUAGAAACUUAAAAAUUUAAUUUAAUUUAACAAUUGAAAGAUGGUUGAAGAAAGACUAAAUGGAAAGAAAGAUUCAUAUUUAAUGAAUUUAAUGAGCAACUCGAACCAAAUAUGAUUGAUUAAUGUCAAAUGGGUUAUGAGAGGGACGAUUGACUUUGGUCAACUAGUUGACCAAAAAGUCAAUAGUUGACCAAAGUCAACUGUGAGGCAUGAAUGGGACAAGGUUGGACCAAAUGGAUUAUCAAAUACAUAUGCAUAUAACAAGCCCUAGUCAAGAGAUGAUUGAUUCCAAAUACAUGUUGCAUGAUGCAGACCAUAAUGGUCAAAUGUCUCAUUCAAUUAAUUGGGUUUUGUAUCUAUGAAUGAAUGUCAUGAUUGUAAUCUUCUUAGACCAAGGUCUAAAAGGGCAUGAAAUUAGGGUUUCCUGGGAUCAAUAGAUAAGUUAUUAUCCACAAAUAUCAAGCAUGCAAGUCAAGGAAACACAAAUGACAUGAGCCAAGCAAAGCUAGGGAUACAAACCAAAUGAUCCAAAACUUGUCAAAAUAGGCAACAAUGCUUCAAACAAAAGACCCUAAAAAUAAUUAGGGUUGCCCAGAUCAUUCAAAGCAACCAUAUAGACUCAAACCAAAGUGGCCCACCAAGCUAGGGUUUUAAGGACCAGAUGGUCCAUCAAGGCCUAGCCAAGAAAACUAGGGUUUGCAUGAAUAAUAGGUCAAGAUGAAUCAAAACCAAAUUGUUAUUCACGAGCUUUGAAUCUAUGAUGUUCAUGAGAAGGUGUCAAUAUGAAUACAUGAUGCAUAUGAAUGAAUGCAGAUGAAUCUCAAGUUAUAGGUCAGAUGAAAAGUGAAAGGGGGGGGGGGGAUUUGGGGUACGCCAAUGAUAGAAGACACUUAAAGAUUCAACUUUCUAGUACAGUUAAGAGAUAUGAAAGAAUGUGGCACACCCGUGUCAAUCCUAUCAAUCUUAGAAACAACAUUAAUAAAACACAUACCUUGAAUCAUGUUAUCAAAUCUAGUAGUGUCCGUUCCACUCAAAGUAAUAAUUUUUCCUCCAGACUGAGCUUUCUUUGGUUUCUAGCACUAAGUAGUAAUGUAACCUGGUUCUCCAUAGUUAAAGCAAGAUAUAACAUUUCUCUUACAAUCAGCAAUAUGGCGUCCUUGCUUUCCACACUUGAAACAUUUAUGACCAGAACUCUUGCAUUCAUUAGCACGACGACCUAUCCCUCAACAACUAAAACAUCUGACAGAAGCAGAAAUGCCUUCCCCAUUUGUCUCUUUCCCACCUGAAGCCUUCCAUUUCCCUUUAUCAGCUGGAGCCCUAUAUGCUUUUCCAUAAUUUUGAUUUCCACUUUUCUUCUCACUAAUACUCUUAUAGUGAGUAGAUCUAGUAGGGUUGUCUUCACCAUAAAUUAUACAUUUACUAACCAGCACAAAUAACUGGUGAAUCUCCUGAUAUUAGAUGAAUUGUUUGAUCUCUGAACGCAAGCCAUUCUUAAACUUGAUACACUUGGAACCUAUAUCUCCUUCCCCAUUAUAACACGAGCAGAACCUUGGCAACUCUUCAAACUUCGCAACAUAAUCAUCAACUUGCAUGUUAACUUGUUUCGGCUCAAGGAACUCGAUCUCCUUUUUGCAACGGACAUCAGUAACAAAGUACUUCUCAAGGAAUUCAGUUUUCAAAUUUUCCCAAGUGAUCUCAGUACCUGCACCCUCAAGCCUCUGACAAGCAUAUCCCACAAAUAUUAUGCUUCUAAUGCUAGUUGUCGCGCCUCGAAAAAUAGGGAUACGACUUUAAGCGAAGCGCGAUCGCAUACUCGCAAUGAUGGACUGAAUAGAGUCGCCACCGAACUUUAUUUAUUCCUAAAAAGGAAAGGGGAAAUAUCGAUAAAACCCAAUACAAAACGACAAUGAUUAUUGGUCGUCGCAACCAAAUCAGGGUUCGGGAGUCGGUUACGCAAGGGGAAGGUAUUAACACCCCUCACGUAUGUUGUAUUCAAUGGGAACCGUUUAGUUAGUUUCGUUUUGAAUGUUAGUUUAUGUUAAUCUUCUCAAGUUAUAAUGAGGGAGAGAAUGAAUAGAAGAAAGAAGAAAUGUUUUUGGAUUUUUGACGAAGGACUAAACCUAAGUUUUUUAUUAGUGGGCCUGACAAGAUUUACAAAUCCUGCUCCUACGUAUCUCAAAAGAGAAAUCAAGGCUUACUGACGAAGGACUAAACCUAAGUUUUUUAUUAGUGGGCCUGACAAGAUUUACAAAUCCUGCUCCUACGUAUCUCAAAAGAGAAAUCAAGGCUUACGUAGUUCUGGGUAGAAAAUGUUUGUUUGUUGGUCAAUUUUAGCGAAAGCUAUAUUGUGUUAAUCGAUGAAAAACAUUAUUUUACCCAAAACAGAUGAGGAGUGGACGCAUACCACACAUCGAACGGAUUUAUAAAUCUACAUUCGGAAAAGCGUCACUUAUCUCGACUCAACAAUCGUAGCCGAAACAUUAUUUUGCAUCACCUUAAGACAAUAUGUCUUUCGUUUACGAAAAAGGUUUUUGAUUAAUAGCACGGCGGCGAGAAAAGAGUUUGAUUGGUUGGAUGUAUUUUUGAGUAAUGGCGAGAACUUGGAUGAGCGAGAUAUCCAUCUCGAAUCCUAGUCUCAGGAGUGCACGGUAUACACCAUGUUCCAUUUCCAUCUUAUUUGCAAAAGUAUUUAAUAAGAAUUAGGUGUUCUAGUCUCAGGAGUGCACGGUAUACACCAUGUUCCAUUUCCAUCUUAUUUGCAAAAGUAUUUAAUAAGAAUUAGGUGUUUUGAAUUUGAUUGAGAAAGGGUUUGAAGAAACCGCAUUGACAAUUUUAAGAAGAUGGCGAGAGUUAAGAUAGGCAAGGCAUCCACCUUGAAUCUUAAUCUCAGGAGUGCACGGUAUACACCAUGUUCCAUUUUCAUCCUUAUUGAAAAAGGUUAAGAUCGGAAUUAAGUAUUUUAUUUUUGAGUUUUGAAAGACGAAUAUUUGAUGAGAAUGAGACAUGAGCCUCGGGAUCUAUCACUCGGGGUUCCACCGGAAUGCUAGAUUCCAAUGGUCCUUUUUUAUUCGAAUUAUUGAAAAAAAUGGUUCGAAUAUUUACAGGUAUUUUGAAGAGAAGACGAAUACAUAGGGCUUACAAGUUCUUACAACUUGGGCCUAAUAUUCGGGAUUACGACUGGAUAUUCCAUCCAGGUAAUCUUUUUCUUCCAAUUUUAUGAAAAUGGUUUGAAAUAAAAUUAAAAAUGAUUAAUGUACAAAUGUUUGAAAUUAUUGAAAAUUAAGUUGGUAUUGCUUAAAAGCUCAUUUUAAGAAGGCCCAAGAGUAAGUCAUAGGACCGGAAAUCGACCAAAAUCGAAAGUCAACCGAAUUUAGCUCUAAGCUCACUUAGAGUGGAUUCAUGUAGGAAUCACUCUGUAAAAAGUUGAGCAACAAUCUAUACAUCCAAGCGGUUCUCAAAAGUUAAAUUAAAUUUUAACUUUUGCAAUGCAAUGAAAAUAAAGAUAGCACCAACCGCAUUGUCUUACAUUAUUACAUUAUUCUAUAUGUUCAAAAGCACACAACAAUAUCAAGUUAAAAUCUAUGAGUAAGUACUCUUAACAAUUCAAAUUGAAAAGACAAUUUAUUAAUUAAAUCUAAUCAACUACUUAAUUACACAAAUAAAUAACUACUAAUAAUCCAAGAAGUGUGCAAGAGUAAAAUAGGGAGACAAACGUUCUAAACCUGGGCCUAAGGCCCAUGACAAAAAAAAACUCUAAUAUAAAAAAAUAAAACAAAUUAUAAAACUCUAAUCUAAAACUGAAACAAAAUUAUAAAAACAUUAAUCUAAAUAAAAUAAAACAAAUUAUAAAAACAUUAAUCUAAAAAUUAAAACAAAUUAUAAAAACUCUAAUCUAAAAAAAUAAAACAAAUUAUUAAAAAACACUAAUCUAAAAAGAUCAAACAAAUUAUUAAACUCUAAUCUAAAAAUAAAACAAAUUAUUAAAAAAACUCUAAUCUAAAACAAACUAUUAUAAUAAAUUGAUUAGAUAAUAAAAAUAAAAAUAAAAAUAAACAUAGAAGCUAUACAGUACCCAAAAAAACAAAUAAUGCCAAAAUGUAUAUAAAAUAAAAAUACUAUCAGUAAGAAAAACGUAUUUCAUUGUUUUCUUUUUAAAACUAUUCAUCACCUUCAUAUAGCAUAUGGAUGCAAAUAUAAUCAACUAAAAUAUUGAAUGGCAUGGUUCUUCCCCUAAGAAUACAAAUAUUAAAACUUAGACAAGACAAUCAAAUAGGAUAUAGCAUGCUAAACAUUAACUUGUUCGAACCGAAACAUUAUCGAAAGUUAAGAUCUACAGCUAGACAUAGUUGAGUUCAAGCUCGAAACAACGGUUCGAUGUGGCUAGCAUUUAUUUUUCAUGACAGAGCUUGUGUUUGGUAUACUCAUGGUGGUUGAAAUCGUGUUUGGCUAUAUCAAAGCACGGUGGAGCUUGAAUAUGUUAUGGCGGAUGUGCGGUUGGUAUGCGUUUAUGGUGAUGAUGUUGUGAUGGAUUUUAUGUGGCGGAUGUGCGGUUGGUAUGCGUUUAUGGUGAUGAUGUUGUGAUGGAUUUUAUAUGGCGGUGGCUUGUUACGGUUUGAAUGAUGAAGGAUGAUAUUGUUGAGUUAUUGUAUGUGGAUGUUGUUGUGGUUAAUGAUGUUGAGAGAGAUAAACAGUGACCACACACAUGAAGUAGAAUACUCCUUCUUUCUCAAAUUUUUGUGUGUGAAUAUAAGAGAGCACAAGUGGGGAGUCUUUAGUGUGAAGUGAUGAAGAUAAAAGAAGAGGUUUAUCUAUGGUUACAUGAGAGAGAGUAUGGUUUUGAGGAGAUCUGUUAAAGAGCUUCAUGAGUCUCUUUAUUUAAUGAUGGAAGUUCACAUAACAGUACUUCUCUUUCUUCCCAAUGUUGAGAAGGUGAUAUCAAAAAAAGAUGUAUGCGCCGCGUGGGGUUCCUCUUUUCAUCAGCAUCUUUAGGAUUUAUAUAGUGUCAAACUAGGGUUGCUCAAUUUGAGAGAAAUACCAAAAUGCCCCUCUUUUCAAAGUUUUAGAACAAAAUUAGUUUUAAGAACUAAAUUAAAAUUGAAUUAAAUUAUUCUAAAAAAAACUAUAUUAAACUGUAACAAAGACGUAAAAAAUUCUAAUUAAUUGAUUCAAAUAUUUUUACAAAGAGAUAAAAAUAAAAUGUCUCAAAAUGGAUAAAGGUCGGGCGCAAAAGUGCUCGAAAAAUUAAAAUGAAUGCACUAAAAUGAUCAGUGUGAAAUAAACUUAUUGGAAAAAUACAGCGUUUCUUUUAAUUUUGAAAUAAAUUUUGACCGGUUAAACAGGCUCGAGCUGAUCAAAAAGUGUCCGAAAAAUUAGCUGAAAAAUAAAUCGAGCAUACCAGGUUAAACUACGUGAAACGUAGAUUAAUAAAACUGAUGUCUACAAGCUUGAUUUUGAAACUUUUUCGCCCGCUAUUUUGACACACAUUUGAUAAUUGGUUCAACCGGUUUGUCUGUAAAUCUGAAAAUUCAUUUCGACUGACAUUCUAGGCAUUAUGCGGUAUGGAAUGCAUGUUAUGAUAUGCAAAGAUGCAACGACUAUGACGAAUGUGUUAAAUCGGCGAUUCUGAAAAUUCAUUUCGACUGACAUUCUAGGCAUUAUGCGGUAUGGAAUGCAUGUUAUGAUAUGCAAAGAUGCAACGACUAUGACGAAUGUGUUAAAUCGGCGAUUCAGGGUCAAAAUUGGGGUGUGACACUAGCCUAUAAGUACCAAACAUGACCUUUUGUGCGUCGGUGCAAGCCAUCACCCUGAAUAUUUUCUCAAUCUCUUGCAACCAAAUCUUAGCGCCUUCUGGGUCUUACCUCUCUUUAAAAGUCAACAUAUUGUUCCACUAAAAUUUACUCAGUCCUUUGAACUCAUCUACCAUCCUAUGUUGGUUCUGCAAUGCCUGAUUCGUCUGGCCCAUCACAUGAUCCAUAACCUUCAAAUCAUCAUAGAUUGCUCGAUAAUUUCUUCCAGAUAUUUCUCUACACAUCAGUCAACAACCAUUAGAAGAAACAUUGCAUCGACAUUGUUUGCACACAUGCCACAUAUUAGGGAACAUAUAACGUCACAAAACCUGGCCGGAUGGACCGACCUUCACCGAUACCACUACGUAACACCCUAAAACCAUAAAUCUUAAAUAAAAGAAUAAGAUCAACAUUUAAGGAUUCUACUCAAAACAUAACAUGCAUACUUUCCAAUUAAUUUCAAAACUUGCAGGGAAAUUCAAAUUAGUUAACAUAAACUUCUGAUAUCUCCUCAAUGAAGUACUCAACAAAUUAACAAAAUUCAAACAUUAACUCAAAACACAUUAAACGACACAUUCCCCGAUGUUACAGAUCAUAGAAAUAUUCCCAACUAAACAACACUAAAAUAAUAAAGAAAACAAAGAGAGCUCCAUAGUCCUCUUCCAACUCACAUCAACACUUACUCCUCUUAAGUAUUUAUAGAAUAUUGUACAGAAUAACACAAACCAAAUAACAAAUGGGUGAAAAUACACUUAAAUAUAUUAACAGUGUAAAAGAAUGCAAGGAUAGCUUAAAUCACACAAUCAACAACACACAUUCAAUUUAUACAACAACACAACAAUUCAAUUCACAUAACCUUUAUGUAUACAAUGUGACUCACAACUCGACUUUAUGCAUGUGGUACCAAUUUGGACAUCAGAGGUUUGUUACUAAUCUCGUCCACUCAAAAAUGGUUCCUCAUUCGAACUGAGUCCCCACUUAUGAACCCCAAAUUUUCACCUCUGAACCCCAGACGAUCAUUGGUCCCUAGUUUUGAACCUGUGACUUACCUCUUUCAACACACGAACACAAAAUGAUGCAUGACAUACAAAGUAAUUCAACAACAAUAAUAAAACUUAUGGUUCCACUUCUAACCAUAAUCAACAUGCGAUAUAACAUUCACACUAGUAUCCACUUCUGAAUUACUCACCUUAAUAUAACAACCAUAAUCACAUUCACAAUACAUAAUUAUAUUCGCAACAUCAUAACUCAUAAACAUAAUCAUAAUUCACCAUUUAUUAUCAUGCAAAUUAAUUCAAUUAUUAUUUCAUCAUCGUAAUAAUUCACCUUAAUCAAAUAAAUUCAUCAAAUACACCAAAAUAAAAGUCAACCAUUGACCACAUGAGAAAAUAACAUUGAAAUUCGGACCUAUCACUCAAAAUCGGUCCUUGGUGGUCAUGACGACCUACUCGUCACCUGGGUGACGGCCGUCACCCAACCCGUCAUCCUCUAUACUCACAAACCAUCACCCAUAUGAUGUAUGGCAUGGAAAAUCAUACCUAGAGACCAUGAAGGACUCCCAGUAACCAUACUGAUGCCCUUUAGCUGACCCAUAAGCAUGACAAGCAGCCUGUCACGCUGAUGCGGAAUCAUAAUAUGCAUUUUUCACUAUGGAAGCUCAUUCGAAACUCCUAUUUUGACCCCUAACAUCCCAAAUUACACACAAAAUUAUAGAUACAUAUUAUACAACAAUUAGACAUCACAUAUGCAUCGAUUAUCAUCCAAAUUCACCAAUUAAUCAUGGAUUCAAGGUUAUGUUCCUAAAACUAAUUACACAACAACGGCAACAACCACAAUCAGAAUUUAUUCCAAUACAUCAUGCAUAAUAUUCAGCACAUAAUAGAGCACAAAUAUACAGAUUAAACAUGGCAAUUAACAUAAAUUUCACGUAAUCAUAAUCAAACUAAAAAGCGCAACAAUGGAGAAACACCAGAGGAGGGUGAUGAUCUCUCUCUACCAUUCAUGCAAUUAACACCUAUAUUCAAGUAAUCCCCCUACUUGAAUUUCCAGCAGUAAAAUAAGUUUGAUUAUGGUAUUCUUCUUCUCCCUCAAGUCCUUAUUCUCUUUCUCUCACUCUUGCCUCUUUUUUUCAAUUGCACAACUUCUAUGUACUGACAAGUUUGACUCCCCUCACAUAUUCUAUUUAUUUUAACCUAAAAUAUAAUUAACUCUCAUUUUCACAUUUUUACCCCUCCAGUAAUCUCUACUUUCACCACUCUCCCUUAUUUUUCUAAUUAUUUUAUUUUAUGCCCCAAUAUCAUUAUUUCUCUUUUUUAUUAUUAUUCUAUUAUUUUAAUAAAAUGAAACUCUAUUAAAUUCCAACAAAUUUCAAAAAUUGUAAAAUAAUUACAUAACACAUGCUAUCACCAAAAUAAAUAAUUAAAAAUAUAUCAAAUCACUCAAAUAAUUAAAUAAAAGAAAAACACUAAUUAAAUAAAUUGAUCAAAUUUAAAGUGUUACAUAAGGUGGCCAACAUGCAUCGCUAUGGCAAUCGGAUGUACUCCUCCUAUUUCUUUGCUUCUUUUGUACAUAAGAUAGUUAAUUUUAUGGUGUUGUUUGGUGGUCUUUAUUAGUUGAUUUAAAUAGUUUUUUUAUUCUUAUAAGUGGGUGUUUUUUAUAUUUGUAGUCUCUAAAUAUAUUUUCUUUAAAUAAUACCUGAAUGUUAAAAUCAUAGGAAAUCUGCAUAUUUUAAAUUCGCAACAAAAUUCGUAGAAAACAUGCUGAUUAUAAAUCCGUAGAAAAAUUCGAAAAAAAAAUCUUUAAAAAAUUGUCAAUUUUAAUUUUAAGAAAAAAACAAAAAAAAUUAAUAUCAGAUAAUUAUUUCAAAAUGAAAUUUUUUCUUCUAAUCCGCAGGAAAUCUAUAAACUAUUUAAGUCUUAUUAGUUUUAUAUUAUUUACUGUAUUUAUAUAUUUUUUGUGUACUACUUGUACCACAUGUGUAAAAAGAUUCUGGUUUAAUAUUUUAUCCCUCGUUUUCUUUUAAGUAUGGUUAUAUUUGUUCAAAACUGUGUUGAGUGGUAUUCUUAUCAUUUGUGAUCUUAAUACAUCUUUAGAGUUUUAUUAAUUAUAUUUUAUUUGGUUGAUUGAAAUAAAUUAUACAAAACAAUGGAAAUGAUUCCGUAAAAAAUGGAGGAAAUGAUACAACAACAAAAAUAUAACAAAAACAUUUAAAACAUAAUUAAAUAUAUUUAUUCUCAUGUAUAAGUCAUAUUAAAGACUUCGUAUACGUUUGUUAAAAGAGACAAUACAAUUAUCCAUCGCAACAACAUUGACUUGCAAUACACUUGCCACCUUUAGGAAAUUUAUUUGUUAAACAAUAAUUGUUACAGUCUUCGUCUUUAUUUGGACAUGGACCUUGGCCAAUACAAUAAAUCCAUGAACCAGCUGCGUCUCCUGUAAUAAAUAAGGCAUUGUUAGAAAUGUAAGAGAUAGACAAUAUCAAUGUAAAUAAUGUAAAUGUAAUAGUUAAUUGUUAUUAUCAUAUUAACAUUUUUGAUAGAAAUUAAGCUCUAAACCGUCGAUUUUUUUAUUCCUUAAGUCAAUUAGUUUAGUCCAAUUGAAUUACCUCCAUUUGCUAAAAAUAUUUCAAACACAUUUUACAUAUUUUGAGAAAACGUAUUCUAAAACUCAAAACACAGGUUUCAUUUAAAACUUUUCUCUAUUAAAGUUAGUUAUAUUAAAAAUUAAAAAUUGUUAUAAUAAAUAUGAUACCUGGAGUCAAAACAGAUGCAAAGCAUAGCAACGCAUUGAAAAAAUGCACACGGUUGAUGCCAAUAGCCAUCUUUUCUUCUUUUGCAAUAUGGAGAAGGAAUGCCUCCUAGUGCUAUUUAUAGAGAUUAAUAGAAUUUCUUCAAUAAGUUAUUUUAAUUUAAAAGGGCAUAAAAUCUUUUAUUUGUUAAUUACUUUUAUGUUUUAAAAUCCUAACUAAAAAUACAUAAUUCUAGUCAAAAAAAUUCCUUUUAUAACAAGUUAUUCAAAAGAACAUCAAAUUUAGUAAAAUUUUAAUAUCUAAAAUAAUUAUAACAAAAAAUUAUUUAUAUAAGGAAUUUAUAUAUAUAUAUAUAUAUAUAAUAUAUAUAUAUAAUAUAUAUAUAUAUAUAUAUAUAUAUAUAUAUAUAUAUAUAUAUAUAUAUAUAUAUAUAUAUAUAUAUAUAUAUAUAUAUAUAUAUAUAUAUAUAUAUAUAUAUAUAUAUAUAUAUAUAUAUAUAUAUAUAUAUAUAUAUAUAUAUAUAUAUAUAUAUAUAUAUAUAUAUAUAUAUAUAUAUAUAUAUAUAUAUAUAUAUAUAUAUAUAUAUAUAUAUAUAUAUAUAUAUAUAUAUAUAUUAUAUAUAUAUAUAUAUAUAUAUAUAUAUAUAUAUAUAUAUAUAAUAUAUAUAUAUAUAUAUAUAUAUAUAUAUAUAUAUAUUAUUAUAUAUAUAUAUAUAUAUAAUAUAUAAUAUAUAUAUAUAUAUAGUAUGGACAAGAAACGAUAAAUUGAUGAUAUUUAUAGAGAUUUCUAACCGUUUAUUUGGUAAAUGAUUUCUUUUCAAAUAUCCUUUAUAUUAUUUUUGUAGUAGUAGUAUUUAGUUUUGUUAAACUUAACUUAGCUAGUGUAGGUUACUAUUUUGCUUAUGUAUUAUUAUUGUUUGUAUCUAUAAACAAUGUAGCUGUAAACAGUAAGAGUAAUAGAAGUUUGUUAUUCUCUCUCUUCUUACAUCUUCAUAACUUGUGCACCAACAAUUGGUAUCUAGAGCUCCGAUUCAGAUUCAGAGAGAAACACAGGGAAACACGAGUGAACGGUGAGGUGUUGUGUGAUUGAGUUCUUUUCUUGAAUCCGUGUUGAAUUUCUUAUCAGAAUCGUAAUAGAAUCAUAUAUCUUGAUUUUGUGGGAUUCGGAAAUACUAGUGUUUCGUGAGAUCUGAGUGAUUUGCGCAUGUUUGAAGAUGAACGGAAAUGGUAAUCUGAGUACUAAGCUUCCAGUGUUCAAUGGCAAGAACUAGAAUCGGUGGAUGAUUUUUAUACGUGUGUUGUUUGACGUUCAAAAUGUUUUUGAUCUCGUCAACAACAAUUAUGUUUUGGUUUCACUUCCAGAAAAUGCAACGGAUGCACAAAGGAAUGUUCAGCGUUAUCUGAGGAAGAAGGAUCAGAAGGCGUUGUUCUACAUCCAUCCAUGUGUGAAUAUGAAUGUGUUUGAAAAAAUCGUUGAUUCAACAAACAUCGAAGGUUGCGUGGGACACACUGGUAUGGUACUACGACGGUGAUGCAUCAGUGAAGAAGGUAAAGUUGUAGUCUCUAUGUAAGUAGUAUGAGAAUCUUAGCAUGAAGAACAAUGAAAAUGUACCUGACUAUAUCUCCAGAGUGAUUCUGAUCACAAAUGAGAUGAAGUCAUGUGGAGAAAUUUUUUCUAAAGAAAGGAUCAUUGAGAAGGUACUUAGAUCUCUUACUCCUCAGUUUGAUUAUAUUAUGGUAGCAAUUGAACAUUUUAAGGAUCUUAGCACCAUGAGAAUUGAAGAGAUGCAAAGUGGUCUGGAGGCACAAGAGUUGCGUCUGACUAAGAGAAACUCUGAAAUGGAGGUAGAGCAGCAGGUUCUGGUAAGAAAUAUCAUAAGCAUUCAUGGUCAGAAGAAAAUAAAAGAUCUGAUGGUGUUUAGAAGUCAGAAAUCUCAACUUCUGAAAUGCAUAAGAGUGCUUAGAAAGGGGGAGGAGAAGUAUGACAAUAGGAAAGUUCAGUGUUAUUGUUGUAAGAAGUUUGGCCACUUCGCUGUUGAUUAUUGGUCAAACAAGGAAAGUCAGAAGAAGCAAACGUAGCCAUAGGAGAUUCUGAUAUUGAAUAUGUGCUAUUGAUGACUUCUGAAUUCGAUGAUGCAUUUUUGGAAGACUGGUGGUAUAUGGAGACUGACUGCUUAAAUCAUCUUAUUGGAAAUAAUAAAUGGUUUGUUGAAUUUGACUUUAGAAAAAGGACAAAGAUCAGCUGUGUUGAUGAUAAAUACCUCAAUGUUAAAGGAAUGGGAAAUGUCAGAUUAGUUUAAAAAAAUGGUAAAACAACGUUGAUUCAGAGCGUGUGGUAUGCUCUUAUCAUUAAAAGCAAUAUGAUGAGUGUAGGUCAACUAAAUAAGAAAGAAUUUUCAAUUACCAUGAAGGACAAUAACUUGAAGUUGUAUGACUUUAAUCAGAAGUUUAUUAUGAAUUCAGAACAGGGGAGGAAUAGAACAUUCAAAGUGAAUGUUAAAACUGCAAAAUCUGAAUGCCUCAGUGCAACAAGUGUUGUAAGGAAAGUGAGAUGUGGCUCAAAAGAUUUGGUCAUCUGAAUUUCAGAAGCUUAUGGCAUCUGAAUUCAAAGAAGUUGGUAAAUGGAAUUUCUACAAUUAAGAAGCCAGAGAAGUCAUGCAAUGUGUGCAUGACAAGGAAGCAACCAAGACUACCAUUUGCAUCUAAAAUGCCUCCAAGGGCAAAGCAUGCUCUGGGUGUGGUGCAUUCUAAUGUGUGUGGACCAUUUCUAAUACCUUCACUUGGAGGGAAUAAAUAUCCUAUGUCAUUUAUUGAUGAGUUCAUAAGGAUAAUGUGGGUAUCCCUUAUAAAGUACGAACACAAGGUGUUUGUUAAAUUUAAGAAAUUCAGAAUCAAGGUUGAGAGUUAGAGUGGUCAGAAGCUGAAAGUUCUAAGAACUGGUGGAGGAGGUGAGUAUAACUCUACAGAGUUCAUAAAGUCCUAUGUGGAGAAUGAAAUUGAGCAUGGGGUGAUUGCUCCAUACAAUCCUCACCAUAAUGGUCUUGUUGAAAGAAUAAAUUGAACUUUGAUUGACAUGGCAAAGAGCAUGUUGAAGGAGAAGAAGCUCCCUCACACCUUGUGAGGAGAAGUUGUUGCCACUACAAGAUAUGUGCUCAAUAGGUGUCCAACCAAAAAUCUGAAGGAAAUUGUUCCUUUAGAGAAGUGGACUGGAGAUAAUUAAAGUGUGAGUCAUCCGAAGACGUUUGGUUUUGUUUGUUACAAACAUGUUCUAGAUGCUAAGAGAAGAAAGUUGGAUGACAAAAGCAGAGUUAUGUUGCUUAUAUGGUACCACAAUACAGGUGCUUAUAAGCUCUAUUGUCAUGUCACUAACAAGGUUGAAUUCAACAUAGAUGUCAUUGUGAAAGAAUAAGAAUCGUGGGAUUAGAGUAAAUCUUAAUCUAGCUCUGGUGUUGUGGAAACUUUUGAAGAUACUUCAGAAUCUAUAGCUUCCGAAGAUAUGUCGUAAUCAGAAGAUGAGUCUGACUCUGAAGGCGAGUGUAACUUUGAAGGUGAAUCUGAUUUUGAUCUAGAUUCUGAUGGUGAUUCAGAAUCUGGUGGAAAUCCUGACUCUGAAGGUGGUCAUGCCUCUGAAGAUGAUAAUGAAGGGGUUUCAACAUCUGAUAUUGUUCCAGCAUCUGAAGAAGAUUCUGAACUAGUUCAUAGUGCACAAAGAAUUAGAAACAUUCCAAAACGACUUGCAGAGUUUGACAUGCUGCAAGAUAUUGAAGUAGACUCUGAAGGAGAACUCAUUUAGUGUGCCAUGUUAGUAGACUAUGAACUAGUAAGUACUGAAAAAGUGCUCAAGAUGAAAGUGUGGAUGAAGGCCAUGAAAGAAGAACUCGAGGUUAUAGAAAGAAACAAGACUUGGGAGUUGACUGAGCUUCCAAGGGACAAGAAAGCCAACAACGUCAGAUGGGUUUUCAAGGUGAAAAUGAAGCUAUAUGGAUCAAUUGGAAAACACAAAGCAAGGUUAGUGGAAAGAGGUUUUCUAUAAAAACCUAGGUUAGACUACUCUGAGGCAUUUUCUCUUGUAGCGAGACAUGAGACAAACAAACUGGUGAUUGCAAUAACUCUAAAAUGAAUUGGCCUCUAAUGCAUCUGGAUGUGAAAUCUUCAUUUCUGAAUGGUCCAUUGCAAAGAAGAGGUAUACGUGUCACAACCUCCUGGAUUUAUGAAAAGUAAUUAGGAUGGAUGGUGUACAAGUUACAUAAAGCGUUAUAUGGACUGAAACAAGCUCCUAGAGCUUGGAAUCUGAAAAAUUGAUUCAUUUUUCAAGCUCCAAGGAUUCAGAAAGUGUGAGAUGGAGUAUGGUGUCCACAUUCAGCAUACUUCUGAAGGAAAUAUGGUUCUAUUAUGUCUGUAUGUUGAUGACAUAUUUCUAACAGGAAGUUGUGAACAUGAGAUAGCUCAGUUCAAAAAGAUUCUAAAGAAUGAGUUUGAGAUAACUGAUAUAAGAAAUAUGACAUUUUCUAGGGAUGGAGAUUUUGUACUCUAAGAAGGUUAUCAUUCUGCAUCAGUUGAAGUAUGCAUUUUGAGCUUCUAAAGAGAUUUGAGUUGCUGAAUUGUAAGGUUAUCAUUCUUCAUAAACAAAUCACAAAUGGGAUUCUGAUCUUGAAGGUGAUGAUGUAGAUGCUACAACUUUUAAUCAGUUGGUUGGAUCUCUGAGGUAUUUGUGUAAUACCAUAUCUGAUACAUUGCUAUGUAGUUGAAAUGGUUAAUAGAUUCAUGAGUAAACUGAAGUGGUCUCAUUACCAAGUUAUUAUCAAGAUUCUGAGGUACAUUAAGGGGACUCUGAAGUAUGGAGUUUUGCUCCCUUCUGGAGAAAAAAGCUAAUUCAACGUUGGUGUGUUACUCAGACUCUGAUUGGUGUGGAGACAGAGUUGAUAUAAGAAGUACUUCUAGAUAUUUGUUUAAGUAUCUGGGAAGUCCUAUUUCUUGGUGUUCCAAUAAGCAACCAAUUAUUUCUUUGUAAACUUGUGAAGCUGAAUAUAUUGCAGGUGUUAUGCCUGCAUGUCAAGCUAUUCGGAUUCUGAAUUUACUCCAGGAUCUGAAGAUCAAGGUAAACAAGCCUCUAAAGCUGAUGAUUGAUAACAAAUCUGAAUCAAUCUUGCCAAGAACCUAGUGUUGCAUGGGAGAAUCAAGUAUAUUGAGACUAAAUAUCACUUUUUGAGAAGUCAGGUUCAGAAUGGAGUGUUAAAUGUUAUGCAUUUUAGCACUCAAAGGUAGCUGAUAGAUAUUCUAACGAAAGCAAUCAAGACUGAUCAAUUUCUCCACUUGAGGGAUGAAAUUGGUGUUGUUAGUUUUGAUUAGCAGAAUAUGAAUUAAGGGAAGGUGUUAGAAAUAAUUCAUAUUCAGUAAUAUUAGUAGUAUUAGUUUUGUUAAGCUUAACCUAGAAAGUUUAUGUUGGCAUUUUGCCUACAUGACAUUAUUGUUUGUAUAUAUAAACGAUUUAAUUGUUAAUAGUAAGUAGUGUAGUGUAUAAUGGGUGUGCAUAACCAUUUGGUGUAACCGUUUUGUAAGAGUAAUAGAAGUUUGUUGUUCUCUCUUCUUCCAUCUUCAUUUUCUUUACCUUGUGCACCAAUACUUUUUCCGUUUCUUCUUUUUGAUGAUGAUGUGGAGAAGUUUAUAAGUAGGAGUUAGUGGUGGAGCCAUGACUCUGACCUUGGACUUUAGAGUAUAAUACAUAUAUAUUUAUAUAUAUAUAUAAGUGUACGGAGAAAGCAUUCGACAAAAGGUCAAGAUAAUCGAGUACUAAGAGAAACCUCGUUCGUAAUGUUUGGCGGAAGGAAGUAUUGUAUGGAAAGGGUGUAAGUUUGAUGCAUGGUGGUGGAAACGUGAAGGAUUUGAUGGAGGACGGUGGAUGUUAUGGCGGAGGUUUUGUCUAUGGUGGCUUGUGGUGCCCGGUGAUAAUGCGAAAUUACAUCGUAUAUUUGCCUUGAUUUACAUUCAAAAAUCGUACCAUUUUCAUUUAUGUUCCGAUUAUUCCACAAGUGUUCGAUUUUUUUUGCAGGUAUUUCAAUUCACAUGCUUAAAUGAGCAAAGUAUAGAAAAGGAAGGAAAAGAAGAAGAAACAAAAGAGAAACAGCAGAAAAACCAGAAAAUACAAAUCUUGUGCAGGUGGCGACUGUCACAAGCCUCGUCACGGUCGUCACGCCCUGGUUGUGACGAACGUCACAGGCCCACCACAACCGUCACAAGGCCAAAAUAAGCGUAAUGAAUUGUUCAACAGAAGUGAUCCACACGCCCCAUUUUUUCGCUCCUCAACCCACUUUCCCGUGAAUCUCUCACUCAACCAAGUCACCCUUAUUUCUCUCAACUAUGAACACCAAAUGGAUACUAUAAAAGGAUGGAAGUUGGAAACCUACGGGAACGCUUGAUUUUCCUCCCUGAAGCCAACUUUCAAGAUUUCUCUCUGCAUUUAUUUUCCACUACAAUUUUUUUUUCUAUUAUUUUUCUUCAGCAACAUUGUUUUCUUUUACCACAAUUGUUUACCUUUCCGUUCAGAGCUUUGAUUUUUCCCUUCCCUUUUCGUUUUUCAUUUAGCCAAAAGUAGUAGUUUCCUACACUGGGGAACUAUUGCAAAUUAUUUAAUUUAGUUUAAGCAAUUUUUUCGAAGAAGCAGAAUCCUACGGACCUGUGGAGGACUGCUCAAGUACUUCAAGAUUAAGCAAUAUUCGAUUAAUCCAAGUUCCAGGUUUUUAUUCAAUUAUUAUUAUUUAAUCAUGUUUGCCUUACUGUUGGUCUGUUUAUGUUCGUCUGUGUUUGCAUUAAUUAACAUGUCCGGCUAAACUACCGGUAUCGAUAUGUAAAUAAUUUAAUUAGACGGGAUUUAAUAAUAAUCGGUGUAAACUUCUUUUCUCAAAUAAUCUUUUUGGCUGUUGUUUUUAAUUUAAAUUUAAUUAACUUUGUCACGAGAGUGAGAAGCUAUUUAAUACGGUUUUUCCACGAGAGUGGGAAAUUAACUAAGGUGAGAACCAACAAUCGCGAGAGCGUGAGGGUCGAACUGGAUAGUAAAAACUAGGCAUUGAUUUUAAAAACAGUGAGAGCACUUUAAAAGCAAUUAGAACUUAUUUAUUUUCAAAAAGUAUUUUUAACUUUGCGUGAGGGUCGAACUGGAUAGUAAAAACUAGGCAUUGAUUUUAAAAACAGUGAGAGCACUUUAAAAGCAAUUAGAACUUAUUUAUUUUCAAAAAGUAUUUUUAACUUCAAAUGGGAUAGCGAGAGCAUACAUUCUGACUUAAAAGUAUAGUCGGAGUCAACAAUCACGAGAGUGUGAGAUAAAGCCUUUUAAAUGAGUAUUUUCUACUAAAAGAUAUUUGGUAAUUAAAAUAUACACCGGUGACUUAUCGAAUCCCUGACGAUUAAUACGUUGCAUACUGAUAUCCCUCUAUUAAUAUUCUCUUAAAAACUUAAUUUCCUUUGGAUUUAAUUUUGUUCAACCAAACCUCUAAAAAUCAUCUACUUAGCUAAACAUUGUAACAUCGAUAACAUUAGUUUGACCAUCGGUCCCUGUGGGUUCGAUAUCUUUUAAAACUAAAACGAAUGGACUGUGCACUUGCAGUCAAGUACCCGAUAGACUAUAUUUUAUAUACAGUCACGAGACGUAUUAAGUUUUUGGCGUCGUUUCCGGGGACCUGAUUUAUUCAAAUAGUGUGAUUCUUUCGUUGCGCAGUAUAGACUAAGGUAAAAACUAAUUUCCUUUCCCGGUUGUAUGCCAAGUACUCGCUCACAAGGCGAAAACAUAGCACCACCAAUCGCAGAAUUAAAUCGUUUCUUAUGUUUAAGACGCCGAAUACUAGAGUACCAACGAAGGUACAAUAUUCCCGAUAUCUUCUUUCCUACUACUGAACCAGUUGAAAAAUCAACCAUGGCUGCAGUAGAACCACAGAGUCGUCCUCUUAAGUUCUACGUUAUCCCGUCCCAACAAGAACCUCACAACAACAUUGAUGCCCCUGCUAUCAAUUGAAACGAUUUCGAGUUGAAACCCUCAUUAUUAUCAGUUGUCCAAUAGCAUCAAUUUGCUGGAAAUCCUAUAGACGACCGUAAUGAACAUUUGACCAAGUCUAUGCAGUACGCAGACACUGUGAAGGCGAAUGGUGUAUCUCAAGAUGCGAUAAGACUACGCCUUUUUCCUUUCUCUCUAAGAAAUAGAGCUUGGGCUUGGUUUCAAUCCUUGCCAUCCAACUCAGUCACUACAUGGGAAAAAUUGAAGAACGUUUUUUUAGCCCGAUAUUUUCUGCCAAGCAAAAUGCUAUAUUGAGAGCUCAAAUCAACGGAUUUUGACAAAAAGAUGCAGAAUCUCUCUACGACGCGUGGGAGAGAUACAGAGACAUGAUGAGGAUAUAUCCACAUCACGGUCUCGAAGACUGGGUGAUCAUUCACACAUCUUACAAUGGGCUUCUGUAUAACACAAGACUGACAGUAGACGAUGUCGCGGGUGGUGCACUUAUGGACAAACCAUACAACGAAGCCUAUCAACUCAUUGAAAACAUGGCCCAAAACCAUUGCCAAUGGGGAGGUGAAAGAACUCUAGUAGAAAAGUCCCAAACAAAAAGUGGAAUUUACGAAAUCAGUAGCCUUGACCAUGUCCAUGCAAAGGUAGAUGCCCUUGUUCAAAAGUUAGACAACUUGACCAUACCACCCGUAGCCACUGUGGCUGCCGUGACUCCAAAAUUUGAGUUAUGUGGAAUUCUUGGACACACUGAACCAGAAUGUCAUAUAUUAGCAAGAGUCUCCACUGAUCAAGUAAAUUACGCACAAGGAAAUCCUUAUUCGAAUACCUACUACCCAGGUUGGAAAAACCAUCCUAACUUUUUGUAUAAGACCAAUAAUAUCCUGUAUGCACCUAGCCAAGCACCCGCUGUUUUAUCUGGAUAUCAAAAGCCAGCUAAUAAUGCUUCUAACAUGCCUAGGAAGUCCAACCUUGAACUAAUGAUGGAAAGCUUCAUAGCUACCCAAGCUCAAACAAACAAAGACUUCUUGAACCAAAACAUACAUACUAGUGAGCAACUUAAUUUCAUAGCUACCCAAGCUCAAACAAACAAAGACUUCUUGAACCAAAACAUACAUACUAGUGAGCAACUUAAACAAUUAGCGAGCAAAGUAGACGCCUUAGCCACCCACAACAAAAUUCUUGAAACACAGAUUUCACAAGUGGCUCAACAACAAGCAUCUACUGUUGCUCCCGCUGGCACAUUUCCUGGACAGCAACAACCUAAUCCAAAAGGACAUGCAAAUGUCGUUAUAUUGAGAAGUGGAAAAGAACUAGACGGACCCGUAGAUCCAAGACUCCAAAGUCCUGCCAUGUACCAAAAACCUGACAAAAUAACAACUAAAAAGGUAAGUGAACCGAAGGAGAAGGAAGAUAAUACCCAAGAGGCCGAAGAGAAAGAAAAACCUUAUGUGCCUCCACCAUCUUAUAAACCACCCAUUCUGUAUCUUCAAAGACUCGCAAAUUCUAAAACUACAGGGCAAUUUAAGAAAUUUGUUGAACUUCUGAAGCAACUGAAUAUUACAAUUCCCUUUACAGAAGCCAUCACACAAAUGCCCUCCUAUGCCAAGUUUCUUAAAGAGAUCCUAUCCAAUAAGAAAAAGAUCGAGGAUAACGAAACAGUUACACUUACUACUGAGUGUAGUGCAAUAAUCCAAAAUAACAUGCCUCCCAAACUAAAAGACCCAGGUAAUUUCUCCAUACCCUGUGUCAUUGGAAAGUUCGUCAUAGACAAAGCUCUAUGCGACUUAGGAGCCAACAUUAGUGUAAUGCCCUUAACCAUCUGUAAAAGGCUUAACAUGGGAGAACUAAGACCAACGAAGAUGUCUGUUCAACUAGCUAACCGCUCAAUCAAAUAUCUUGUUGGUAUACUAGAGAAUGUCCCAGUAUGUGUAGGACAAUUCUACAUUCCUAGAGACUUCAUAAUCAUGGACAUCAAAGAAGAUGCCAGUACACCUAUUAUAUUAGGAAGGCCAUUCUUAGCUACCGUCGGAGCCAUAAUAGACGUGAAAAUAGGUAAGCUAACAUUCGAAGUUGGAGAAGAAAAAGUUGAAUUCAUCUUAACACAAUUCUUACAAGAGCUAGCUGUAGACGAUGUCUGUUAUCUAGUUGAUGUCAUAAACGAGUGCGUAAGAGAGAUGGAGAUGCAAGAAACCACAUAUUCUGAUAUAAUGAAAAUCCAAAUCCCUCAAAUCUUUGAAGAUGAUAAUUAGCGUGAACCAUACCAAAAUGACAAUGUAAGUGAAUGCUUAGAACUUACACCCAACCACAUGCCAUGCCUGAAGAAACCAGACUUAGAAUUAAAAACACUACCCAAGAACCUAAGAUACGAAUUCCUAGACACUGAACUCAAAAGACCUGUAAUAGUCAAUGCAGACUUAGCACAUAUUGAAACUGAAAAGUUACUAGAUGUCUUAAGAAAAUAUCCAACUGUGUUAGGCUACAUCAUCGUCGACCUAAAAGGAAUAAGUCCUUCUAUCUGUAUGCAUCGCAUUAUGCUAGAGGAAGAUUGUAAAACCUCUAGAGAACACCAGAAAAGGAUCAACCCAAUCUUAAGUACUAUAGUGAAGGAUGAAGUAAAGAAGUUAUUAGAUGCAGGAAUCAUAUACCCGAUCUCCGAUAGCCAAUGGGUUAGCCCCGUUCAUGUAGUACCCAAGAAAGGGGGCAUUACAGUUGUUAAGAACGAGAAGGGCGAAUCUAUAGCACAAAGAGUUGUGACCGGAAGUAGAAUGUGCAUCGAUUAUAGGAAACUAAACAAAGCCACUCGAAAGGAUCAUUUUCCUCUACCUUUUAUUAAUCAAAUGCUUGAACGAUUGACUAAGCAUUCCUACUUCUUCUAUCUAGACAGUUAUUCAGGAUUCUUUCAAAUUUGAAAUUCUGGUGUAGUCAGAAUUCAGAUGUUAUCCACCACGACAUGACAUCUGAUCUAACAUUGUAACUAAUACAGCAAGAUAGUUAUUAACCACUGUACUAAUAUGCACAGGUUCACAGAAUCUCAUUCUAUGUCACCCUAGAAUGUAUGAACCCUGGUUCUGUGCUUCAGAAGAAAGACUCAACAGAAGUCAACCUAGCACUCACUUCAGUUGUUUUCUCAUAGUUAUCAGCAUGAUUGUCUCAACAUUGAUUUGAGAACAUCAUCUGUUACGCAUUACAAUUUACUUAUUUUAAACUGGACAACGUUAUAACAUGCAAAAGGUAAGAACACAAGUAAUUGUUUAACCAGCUUCGGAAUUCUGCAAACAUCAACCUACGUCUGGGGGCAUACACAAGCCAGGAAGAAGAUCCGACUAUUUAGUAGUAUCAAUUCAAAGCUAAACUCACCCGUUUCAUACUUAUCACUUUAAUCCCUACCCAUGCAUCUUACCUAGGAACUUCUAGACCUAGAACCUCCAGUUUCCAUUCCUAUCACUACAAUACAAUGUAAUGCUAACCAACUUGAACUUGCUUCAACUUCGUUCAAGCACAUAAUCACUCUUGCUAAGCUUGAGUUACAAAACUCUCAGCUUUACCACUGAGAAACACAUGGUAACCAUCCACAGGUUGGGAGGUUUACCUUACACACACCCUAAUUUCAUUCUAGGAGGCUUAAAGACUAGAUACAAUCAGCUAUUUAUACUAAUCACCAAGUGGAUUUGAGGCUUCAGAAAUCGCAGCAAACUUCUCCUUUGCUGUUACAACAUCAGCAGCAAAACUUUCUGCUACAAACAAGGUCUUCAAUCUUUAGUUCCUAAAAUAUAUCUAGUUUAAAAUAUCUCCAUAUUAGUUCCUAAAAUAUCUCCCUAUUUAGUUUCCUAAAUAUCUCAAGACCUCCACAAAUAAUGCCACAAUAGGAUUCUAACUAAUUUCCACAUAUUAGUGUGCUAACAAAUAGGCUAUUUGUUAGGUUCCUUAAUUGUAGCUUGGUUGUUGGUUUCCUGGAUUUUCUCUAAGCUGUUGACUUCCUGAAGAAUAGCCCAAGAAAAGCUGAACAGAAAACUGACAACCUACAAUAUAGCAUAUGCUGUCAGGAAUGAAUGUCACGACAUUCACUUGACAUCAAGGUCCAUAUGCUGAGUCUGUUUUUUCAGAAAACAGACUGUACAAUUUUGCUGACCUGUACAUGAUCAAAAUGAACCAUCUACAGUAACAGCUUACAUUAAUAAUGUUAAAGUGGUCCAACUUAACAUUACACAUUUGGCUUACGUUAGUUCUUGUUAUUCUCUCGAGACAAACUAAGUUACAUGCUGAAGUAUAGCAGAACACACUCUGCCUAAUUUCAGUAGCCUGUGUCAAUGAUGAAUGUACAAUCCAGUUUGACAUUCAGUCAAUAGCCCUUAUGCCAGUCUGUCUUCUUGAUAACCAGACUGCAAAUGAAUACUAGGUCUAACAGAACUCCUGUGUUUAUUCCUUAGUAUCUGUUGACAGGUAUGAAUGUCACAGCAUCCAGUUUGACAUUCAAUAAUCCUGUGUUAGCUAGUCCUGCAGUAACUACAAUGUAGUCACACAUACAUGUUAUGACAUCAGUCAAGACAUUAGUGUUUUACCAUAUAAUGCCGCCAAUUAACACUACAAAAUUCCUAUCCAUCCUAACGACCAAGAGAAACAACCUUCACAUGCCCUUAUGGUACAUUUGCUUAUCGACAGAUUCCAUUUGGACUAUGCAACAUUUCAAAGAUGCAUGAUGUCAAUCUUCACUGACUUUAUAAGACGACAUUAUGGAAGUCUUUAUGGAUAAUUUUUCUGUUUAUGGGCAGAGCUUCGAAAGAUACUAUCAAAACCUUGAAAUGUACUUGAAAGAUGCGUAAAGGUGAAUUCGUCUUGAAUUGGGAGAAAUGCCAUUUCAUGGUCCAACAAGGAAUCGUGUUNAUUCACAGACUUACGACAUCUCAUUCUAUGUCACCCUAGAAUGUUAUGAACCCCUGGGUUCUGUGCUUCAGAAGAAAGACUCAACAGAAGUCAACCUAGCACUCACUUCAGUUGUUUUCUUCCAUAGUUAUCAGCAUGAUGUCUCAACAUUGAUUUGGAACAUCUCAUCUGAUCGACUUACAAUAUUACCUGAUCUCAAUGAAACUAUUAUAACACUACCUUACCCAUUCUAUCAACAACCUGUACACAAUUUCAACAUGGCCAUGCUUACCAAGUCGUGUGGUGAAACGACCCAGUUCGGUUCAAGCCAACUGUGGUUCAUCACAUACACAGCCAGGACAGGAAGAUUCCAACUAUUUAUCGGUGUGGGGUUCCGACUCCCCCGCCUCCAACGUGCUCAGCCGACGUACUAGAGAGCAAUGUCAAGAGGUUCUCUCAUAUAACGCUACCAUACGGACUCCUAUCUUGACCUGUUAUCGAUACGACGAGUGCAUUUCUCCGACACUUCACUUUAAAAAGCUCAUAUACCUGUAAUAUAUAUAUAUAUCCCUCAAAGCAAGUACUAUAUAUAUAUAUUAUAUAUAUAUAGUAUAUAUAUAUAUUAUAUAUAUUAUACCAUAUAUUAUAGGUAAUACUACCAAACUCCUAGACUAGAAACUCUAGCCUAUCUAUUCACUACAAAUCACAAUUAAUGGCACCAACUUGAACGUCUAUUUACAGGUCCAAGCUCGUUCAUCAUGAAGCCACACUAAUUCCCAACGUUCCCAUUCUAACUCACCUUAUACCUUAUAAAACUUCAUGGGCCACUUUGAGGUUUUACAUACAUCAAACAACAAACUACAUGCAAGAAAGAAACGUGAUUACCCAAACAUGGGGGCAAAGAUAACAUCUAGGGUAACGCUCGAUUUUCCACCAGGUAGAAGAGAUAGGUAUGAAGAUGCGAAAAGAAGAGAAGGAACAACAAAACUUCUAUUACUCAUUACAAAAACGGUUAGACACCCGAACUUUAAUGCUCCUUUUACAUACGCACCCACUACCCAAAUUUUCAAUUAUUAUUUCCACUUAUUCAGAGCUAGGUUACUCUAUAUAUCAAAAGACUUCAGAAAUACCAAUUCUAAAGUCUCUGAUCUUAUUAAUCCGAAUCACCCAAGUUGAAUUGGAGGUAUGAGCCUUACAAGCGAAAAAUUCAGCUGUCAUAGCAAUAGCGUAUCUGCCAUUUUGCAUGUAAUCCACAACACAUCUCAACUUCUAAGGCAGAAACGCGUGUGUGUCUAACGGCCGACAAACAAGGCGCUCUUUUCAACAAAAUUUUCAUCUUUUUAGUCCAAUUAAAAACUAAUAUUCAUCUCAUAAUUUUUAUAGCUGAUAUCCUAUGAAAAUUAUUAUUCUUCCAUAACUAUAGUUCUCGUUCCAAAACUUAAAAUAUUCACUAUCUCCGAUCAUUGUCUUCUCAAUUCUACAAAAUAUUACUACAAGACCACUCUAACACAAAAAAUUCAUUCCCCACAAAUUUAGCAGUAUUCUAACUAAUUCCUACAUAUUAGUGUCCCUCUAAACAGAUGUGAGCUAUUAUGAUAUAGGUUGUCAUUCAUUUUCUUGUAAGAUUGUUGGUGCUUUGUUCUUUUUCUGGUUAGAUUAUUAUUCUCCUAAGCUGGUUGAAACACGCUUUGAUACCUAAGAAUUGAGUGCUAAAUUAUGGGCCCUAACAUUAUAGAACAGCCUUGGGUGCACAACAUGUCAAUAGAACAUGACAACAACAUCGCACUUCUUACACAAAAAUAAGUGAAGUGCAUUUAUGUCAUGCUUUGUUCAUGGCAAAUAUACUUGAUUCUUCCCAUUUGGCAAUGGAUUUCUCACGCACUAUGGUGCAUAUUUGACAUCAACUUGGCAGAGUGAUGUGUUCCGAUUGUUUCCAAUCAAUUGUCGCUGAGAUCGUGGUUCUCUUUCAUAUAGAUAGAGUGCUAGAAUGAAUCAUGAUCACCCUUGUGAGGUAUCCUAUCAAGUAUCUUGUGGCAUGUAACAAAAUCCAUGUGAAACAUUGACCUCCAAAUAGAUAUGACAAUGAUGCAACGCAGUACUACACUAACACACUGCAACAAGAUAUCUAUACUUAUCUUAAAUGAGAUUGUCUUUUCAACAAGAGGUGUGGUCUACAAGUAAAUAACUCUCUCGAAUACUUAUUUUAGCAUUUACACACAUCCUGAACCUGUAAAAGUUUAGUUGGGCUACGUUCUCCAUAUGAUUACUCUCGCAUAUGAAACAAAACAAACUAUAAUCUAGGUUAACACUGCUGAAGAGUAACUUCGUAUAUGAUCAACUAUAGCGAAACAUCCACUCUCCACUCGGCACCUCAAAAUCAUGCUUCAGUCUGAGUAACGGAAGCCGCUGUCAAUUUUGAUGGAAUGUUCACAACAUUUCCAGCCUAUUCGGACAGGUCUUGUGAAUCAUAUAAGGCCUUUCUUUUUUCUCCAGAAGGAUAGCUAGCCAGAGAUACUUGCCUGCUUCAUACUCUCUCAGUUCGAGUAUACACCCCAUGUACAUAGCUAGACUCACACUCAGUAUAUAUAUCUAAUGAGGUAAUAUACUAACACAUAUCUUCCUUGUUGUUUUGUAGUAAUUUACGCUUAAGUAUCUGACUCAUAUGCGUACUACGAGUGUUUACUCAUGAAUCUAUUAACCAUUAUUCAUAGUCUUCACAGCACUCCAAGGUGAACAGUAUGUCAAUAAUCCCAAGUGUGUUAACUAGACAUGUGCCAUGGUAACUACAAUGUAGUCACACAUACAUGUUAUGACAUCAGUCAGACAUUAGUGUUUUACCAUAUAAGUGUACUCUGAGCACAAAUCCACACUCUAUAAAGCAGACGACUUACAAAAUUCCUAUCCAUUCUAACGGCACCUAAGAGGAAACAACUCUCAUCACCCCAAACUGGUUAUUCAUGGUCCAACAAGGAAUCGUGUUAGGACACGUAGUAUCUGAUAAAGGAAUUGAAGUAGACAAAGCUAAGAUCGAAAUUAUAGAGAAUCUUCAACCUCCGAAAACCGUACGAGAAAUACGAAGCUAUUUAGGACACGCCAGUUUCUACCGACGCUUUAUCAAGGACUUCUCGAAAAUUACCAAACCACUGACUGGUUUAUUAAUGAAAGACGCUGACUUUAUCUUUGAUGAGAAAUUUUUAUAUACAGUCACGAGACAUAUCACCCGAUGGAAGUUCACAUGGUGUUUGUAAGAUUUGUUAGUUAUUGUUUUGGGAUGUUUGUAUUGUGGUUCAUGGAGAAGUAUUGGAGGGAGACGAUUCAAAUGUUUUGGCAAUGAAGUAUGAAGAGUCACGGUUGAAGGGUUUUUAAAAGUUGUAGGUGGUGAUGUACAUGGCCUUUUUUAUGGUGAGAAAAAUAAUAAGAGAGAAUAUGUAUUGUUUGUUUUUUCUUGUUUUAUAGGGAAUUCAAAUGAAGUGAGGUAAUAGUGAAUGAAGAAAAAUAUCAUAUUAUAUGUGGCUUUAGAUGUGAGAGUGUUGGUUCCUUUUUAUUUAUUUUUUCACAUUUUGAGAUGAAGAGUCCUAUAUGGUGUAGCUAGGGUUUCACCAACACUUAAAGAUCAUAGUACCAUUCUUUUAGAUAUUUUAUGGGAUUAAAAUAGGUUAAACAAUAAAAAUGAAAUAAAUUCUAUAAAUUUCUUAUAAAUACAAAUAAAAUCAAAUGACCUCACAUUUGUCUCUAUUUAUAUUUUUUCAACAAUUUUUUUAAAAAUAAAAAUAAAAGAAUUCAAAAUGAAUAAAAAUUGGGCACAAAAGUGUUAGAAAAACUAAACUGAAUGCACCAAAAUGAUCAGAAUGAAAUAACUUCUCGGAAACAUAUAAGUUUUGAUCAAAUUUUGAAAUAAAAAAAAUGACUGGUUAAAACUCUUAGACUUUUUAAAAUGCGACCGAAAAAGUAGUUCAAAAAAAUAAAAUGAGAAUGUCAGGUUAAACUAUGCAAACUGUAGAUUGAUCAAAUUGACGUCUGCAAGCUCGAUUUUGAAAUUUUUCGCCCGUUAAUUUCAAGUACAUUUGAGAAUCAGUUUGACCAGUCUGUCUGCGAAUCUGAAAAUUUAUUUCAAUCAAUAUUUUAAGCAUUAUGUAAGAUGAAAUGCAUGUUAUGAUAUGCAAAUGAUGUGAAUGCCAUAAUGUAUGUAUCAAUUUAUUGAAUGAUGGUCAAAAUUGCGGUAUGACAUUAGUCAUAUUUUGAGUUGAGUAAUUCAGGGGAAUUACAGUGAGGUCUGAUAAUUUGUGAAUGUAUGGUUCAAGAGUCGAACCUGUUUGAGUAUGAAAUUUUGAGAAUAAUUUUGGUGAUUCUUUAAGUUUUAUUAUUGUUUUCUGCCAUAAUCAUGCAUACAUAUAUAUUAGAGAUAGGUAGGACUUUGGUCCAGUGAGGUCAGGUUCAGAGAGGAAUCAUGUCGGUCUCAUGUCUAGAGAGGGACACGGUCCGGAGACAUGGAUAAAUUAGUAACAUGCCUUUGAAGCCCAAAACCCGAUACCACAUGCAUAUUGGAGGAGAAGUUGGUGCAUUUUGCAUAUGCAUUUUAAAUUGUAUUAUUGUUGUUGUUGUGUGAGAAUGAUCUAUGUAUUUUUAUAAAUGUCUUGUUGUUUACUUUCACCGCUAACAUUUGUGAGGAUUAUUCUCACCCCCUUUAUUUUGUUUGUGCGUGGAUUUUAUGCCCAUGUUGCAGAUACAGGUAGCAUGUAGUGUUGUUGUAUGGAAGAAUGGUGGUCAUUGCCUUCUUCUUUGUUUUUCCGUUUUGUCUAGUACCCUUUGUAUCGAUCUGGUAUUGUAACACAUGUGAUUGGGACGUUGUUUCUUUUCUUUUCAGAAUUACAGUGUUCAUUUCAAAAACUGAUGUUAUUUGAGUUAAUUUCAUUUGAUGAGACUAUGUGAAGAUAUUGUUUAAUGUUUUAUUUUUCUGCUGCGAGUUGUUUAAUUUAAUGACAUGUAUUUUAUUUUGAGAAUAUGUGGCACCCUUUGAUGAAAAAUAAUCUGAAUUAUUGUAUUAUUUUGUGAGUCAGGAAAUAGGGUGUUACAUAGUUGGUAUCAAAGUAGGUCAGAUCAUGGUUGUUUGAUGGUAUACAUAGAAAUGGAUGGAAAAAAUGAUCAUGCAAUCGCUGGUGCUUUGGAAGCUAUGGCUCAUGUGAUGGGAUAUGAUUUGUAAACUCAGCAGAAUCCAUGGGCUGAAGGUGGCGAAUCAUGUGGGUUGAGCAGGUUUCAUAGAAAUAAUCUUCCAACCUUUGAGGGAAGGUAUGAUCUGGAGGGUACUCAGGUUUGGUUGCAAGAGAUCGAGAAAAUCUUCUGAGUGAUGACUUGAACACAUGCCCGGAAGAUCCUGUACAAUACUCGUAUGCUGGAUUAGGAAGCGGAGUAUUAAUGGGACAAUGCUCAUAAGAGGUUGGAAGUUGUAGGUAUUGAGAUCACAUGGCAGAACUUUAAGACCAAUUUCCUUGAGAAGUACUUCCUGACUGACGUUCGUAGCAAGAAGGAGAUCGAGUUCCUUAACCUAAAGCAAGGGAACAUGACUGUUGCGGAUUAUGCUACUAAAUUCAAAGAGUUUUCUAGGUUCUUCCCUCAUUACAAUGGGGUAGGAGCUAAACAAUCAAAAUGCAUCAAGUUUGAGAGUGAUUUGCAUCCAAAAAUCAAAUAAUUCUUUGGGUACCAAGAUAUUCAGUUCUUUGUGCUGGUAAUAAGUUUUGUAUCUAUGAUGAAGAUAUUUGUGCUAGAUCUACUCAUCACAAAAGUGGUAGUGAUAAGAGAAAUGGUAAUCAGAAUCGCGGAAAGUCGUAUGUGGUUCUAGAUGCUAAAGGCAAAAAUAAAUUUCAACGAAAAAAUAAUGUUGGGAAAGGUCAAAGUGAGAGAGGUGCUCCUGUUCCUAUUAUGUGUGUUAAUUCUCUAUUUUUGUGAUUGACAGUAAUUUUGGUAAAACUAACUUAGCAGCAACAGGUUGAACAAGAUGUCUUAACAUGUGGAUCUGAUAUCAUGUCUUAUACAGGUCUACUCUUGUUAACAGUUGAUUGAUCAACAGAUUACUGAAUAUUCUGGGAAUAUUAAGUAAUCCUAUGUGGCCUCCAAGAUUGAGGAAUCAUAGAUUCUAUUUGAAUUUAAAGUUAUUCUGUUUUUCUAAAUGUCAAGACAUUUUAGGAAAAUUUUGAUUGAAGACCUAAUUCUAUGCAGAAUAUUCUACAUCUGUCUCGCUGCAUGUUUGAAGCCCAAAUCCAGUCCAGACUUUGGUUAUAAAUAGAAUGCCUCAAACUUAAUUGAAAGAUGGAUCAAAUAUUGUUUCACUGAGUUGUUAGGGUUUGUGUGGUCUUGUUAAUUGUGAGCCUCUCUAAUAUCAUCUUGAUAUAAGAGUAGGACUGUCUCUAUUGAGUUGUAAGUUCUGUCAAUCACCCAUAAGAUUUUAAGCAUUUAGUGAUUGUGUGUUUGUGAAGUGUGACUUCUGAAACCUUCAUAAUUGUCUUGAUUUAUCACUGUUGUGAUUGAAAGGGAAGUGAGAAGGGUCUCAUACCUAGGCGUGUCUUAGGUAGAAAUUAAGCACGUGUGAUGAUUAGAGAGUAGAUUGUAAACUGGAGAUAGUUUGCUGAAGGUCUACAAACUAAUAUUAUUUAGUGGAUUUCCUCCCUGGCUUUCUAGCCCCCAGAUGUAGGAGUUGUUGUACACUGAACUGGGUUAACAACUCUGUGUGUCCUAUUAUUUUCUGUUCUCAUAUCUGUAUGUUAUAUUGUCAUUGCAUUUUGAUCAGAUAUCAGUGUCUGGACAUCUCUUAGAACUUCUUAUAUCUGCAUACCAGAAUUUCAAUUGGUAUCGAAGAAGGCAUCAUGCUCUGUGUAUGGGUGAGAUUCAGGGAAGAUACUUUCUGGUAUAACGGACAAGGAAGGAAAGUUUGUGAAUAGAUCACCCAUUCUUGAUGGAACCAUCUAUGACUACUAGAAAGCUCGUAUGGUGGCCUUUAUUAAAUCCAUGGACAACAAGGCUUGGAAAUUUGUGGUCAAGGGAUGGGAUCCACCAAUAAUUAGAGAUAAAGAUGGUAAGAUUACUGACGUGUUGAAGGAUGAGGAAGACUGGGAUGAUGAAGAUAAUAAAUUAGUUCAGGGAAACUCCAAAGCAUUGAAUGUCAUAUUUAAUGGAGUGGACAAGAACAUCUUCAGACUAAUAAAUAAUUAUACUGUUGUUAAAGAUGCUUGGGAGAUCUUGAAGGAUGCUCAUGAAGGAGCCUCUAAGGUGAAGAUGU
Molecule: long non-coding RNA, 42045 nt
Filed under: Lathyrus oleraceus (garden pea)
Lineage: Eukaryota; Viridiplantae; Streptophyta; Magnoliopsida; Fabales; Fabaceae
Description: Pisum sativum (pea) long non-coding RNA (PSAT_LNC022064)
Source: RNAcentral